CCUACGGGUGGCAGCUGUGGGGAAUAUUGGACAAUGGGCGAAAGCCUGAUCCAGCCAUGCCGCGUGUGUGAAGAAGGCCUUCGGGUUGUAAAGCACUUUCAGUGGGGAAGAAAGCCUUGGGGCUAAUACCCUCGAGGAAGGACAUCACCCACAGAAGAAGCACCGGCUAACUCCGUGCCAGCAGCCGCGGUAAUACGGAGGGUGCGAGCGUUAAUCGGAAUUACUGGGCGUAAAGCGCGCGUAGGCGGUCUGAUAAGCCGGUUGUGAAAGCCCCGGGCUCAACCUGGGAACGGCAUCCGGAACUGUCAGGCUAGAGUGCAGGAGAGGAAGGUAGAAUUCCCGGUGUAGCGGUGAAAUGCGUAGAGAUCGGGAGGAAUACCAGUGGCGAAGGCGGCCUUCUGGACUGACACUGACGCUGAGGUGCGAAAGCGUGGGUAGCAAACAGGAUUAGAUACCCCUGUAGUC
This 465-nucleotide ribosomal RNA is filed under the name Vreelandella stevensii. RNAcentral describes it as "partial 16S ribosomal RNA". It matches the Rfam family "Bacterial small subunit ribosomal RNA", at positions 338 to 795 of the family's 1533-position model. The record is from RNAcentral. Lineage: Bacteria; Pseudomonadati; Pseudomonadota; Gammaproteobacteria; Oceanospirillales; Halomonadaceae.